RNAcentral lists this ribosomal RNA (1079 nucleotides) under uncultured bacterium. RNAcentral's name for it is "bacterial SSU rRNA". It matches the Rfam family "Bacterial small subunit ribosomal RNA", at positions 169 to 1270 of the family's 1533-position model. The record is from RNAcentral.
GUCUGGGAACCGRAACAACACAUGUUGAUCCGGUCAAAGAUUUAUCRGUGUGAGAUGGGCCUGCGUCUGAUUAACUAGUUGGUGAGGUAACGGCUCACCAAGGUGACGAUCAGUAGCCGACCUGAGAGGGUGAUCGGCCACAUUGGAACUGAGACACGGUCCAAACUUCUACGGAAGGCAGCAGUAGGGAAUCUUGCACAAUGGGCGAAAGCCUGAUGCAGCAACGCCGCGUGAAGGAUGAAGGCCUUCGGGUUGUAAACUUCUGUUCCCGGGGACGAAGAAAGUGACGGUACCCGGGCAGCAAGCCCCGGCUAACUACGUGCCAGCAGCCGCGGUAAUACGUAGGGGGCAAGCGUUAUCCGGAAUUAUUGGGCGUAAAGAGUGCGUAGGUGGUUAUGUAAGCGUGAGGUUUAAGGCAGUGGCUUAACCACUGUUCGCCUUGCGAACUGCAUAACUUGAGUGCAGGAGGGGAAAGCGGAAUUCCUAGUGUAGCGGUGAAAUGCGUAGAUAUUAGGAGGAACACCAGCGGCGAAGGCGGCUUUCUGGACUGCAACUGACACUGAGGCACGAAAGCGUGGGGAGCAAACAGGACUAGAUACCCUGGUAGUCCACGCCGUAAACGAUGAGCACUAGUUGUUGGGUCCGAACGGAUUCAGUGACGCAGUUAACGCAAUAAGUGCUCCGCCUGGGGAGUACGCUCGCAAGAGUAAAACUCAAAGGAAUUGACGGGGACCCGCACAAGCAGCGGAGCAUGUGGUUUAAUUCGAAGCAACGCGAAAAACCUUACCAGGACUUGACAUCCUGCUGACAGGUCCUUAACCGGGCUCUUCUUCGGACAGCAGAGACAGGUGGUGCAUGGUUGUCGUCAGCUCGUGUCGUGAGAUGUUGGGUUAAGUCCCGCAACGAGCGCAACCCUUGUUGUCAGUUACUAACAUUAAGUUGAGGACUCUGGCGAGACUGCCGAGGUUAACUCGGAGGAAGGUGGGGAUGACGUCAAAUCAUCAUGCCCCUUAUGUUCUGGGCUACACACGUGCUACAAUGGCCGGUACAGAGAGACGCAAAACCGCGAGGCGGAGCAA